Non-coding RNA from Pelobates cultripes (western spadefoot toad), 219 nucleotides. The record is from the annotation of a GenBank genome assembly. NCBI's taxonomy places the organism in Eukaryota, Metazoa, Chordata, Amphibia, Anura, Pelobatidae.
AGGUAUUGGUGAUUAUUCACUAACCUGGUUUUGAUCGUAUAUAUCUGAUCGCUCGCAAUAUGUGUCCAUUUCUGACAGCGACUCCCUCUCCCAGUCACGGGUGGUGUUCCCAAAGGUUCCAUUCUCGGACCCCUACUAUUUACAUUAUUUAUAAAUGAUCUGCCUGAUGUCUGCCAAUCCUCAAAUGUACACAUGUACACAGACGACACAGUAAUCUAU